Molecule: ribosomal RNA, 467 nt
Filed under: uncultured bacterium
Lineage: Bacteria
Description: bacterial SSU rRNA
Rfam family: Bacterial small subunit ribosomal RNA
Source: RNAcentral
GGGCCCGCACAAGCGGUGGAGCAUGUGGUUCAAUUCGAAGCAACGCGAAGAACCUUACCAACCUUUGACAUGCCUCGUAUGGUCGCUGGAGACAGCUUCCUUCCCGCAAGGGGCGAGAGCACAGGUGCUGCAUGGCUGUCGUCAGCUCGUGUCGUGAGAUGUUGGGUUAAGUCCCGCAACGAGCGCAACCCUCGCCCUUAGUUGCCAUCAUUCAGUUGGGCACUCUAAGGGGACUGCCGGUGAUAAGCCGCGAGGAAGGUGGGGAUGACGUCAAGUCCUCAUGGCCCUUACAGGUUGGGCUACACACGUGCUACAAUGGCGGUGACAGUGGGAUGCAAUGGAGCAAUCCUGCGCAAAUCUCAAAAAGCCGUCUCAGUUCGGAUUGUGCUCUGCAACUCGAGCACAUGAAGUUGGAAUCGCUAGUAAUCGCAGAUCAGCACGCUGCGGUGAAUACGUUCCCGGGCCUU